Molecule: ribosomal RNA, 253 nt
Filed under: uncultured bacterium
Lineage: Bacteria
Description: partial 16S ribosomal RNA
Rfam family: Bacterial small subunit ribosomal RNA
Source: RNAcentral
UACGUAGGCAGCAAGCGUUGUUCGGAGUUACUGGGCGUAAAGGGUGUGUAGGCGGUUCUUUAAGUUUGGGGUGAAAUCUCCCGGCUCAACCGGGAGGGUGCGCCGAAUACUGAGGGACUCGAGUGCGGGAGAGGAAAGUGGAAUUCCUGGUGUAGCGGUGAAAUGCGUAGAUAUCAGGAGGAACACCGGUGGUGUAGACGGCUUUCUGGACCGUAACUGACGCUGAGACACGAAAGCGUGGGUAGCAGACAGG